AAGGCUUCAGUACGACCCAGUCAGAACUAUAAGUCUCAAAGCCCCGACGAGUAGGGUGGCGCGCCGGUGCGCGUUGAAGGCCAAGACGUGAGUCAGGCUGGAGCCGCCGGCAGUGCAGAUCUUGGUGGUAGUAGCAAGUACUCUGGUGAACCAACCUGGAGCUGUGAGGUCUGGAUUAGGGUUCCAUGUCAACAGUGAUUGAACAUGGGUGAGUCGAACCUAAGCCAACUGUGAAAGCAGUGACAUCCCGACAAAGGGGCACUACAUAUGUGCUGCACUUGCACCCCCAAAGCAAAGCUCUCGUAUUGCUCUCUCUCUCUCUCUGUGUCUGACAAGCCCACACACGAUGAUCACAGUUGUUGUGAGUGUGUGGGUGGGUGCAAUGGUGUCUGGUUACGGAAUACAAGCGCAAACACGCGCACACACACGGUGAUCACACUACCAAAACGCGUGAGAGUGUGUGAGCGCGCGCGCCCUGGUGUCUGGUUACGCUCAUAAGCGUUGUUGCUCAAAAAGCAAAGAGGAUAAAGCAUAUAAAACGAGAGAGAGAGAAACGGAGUGGGUGAGCGUGAGUGAAUCUAUUUCGUGAGCACCCUGCGUCUGGUUCUAUGUCUGGCGAAAGGGAAUGGGGACUUUGUUCCUUGACCGGUCCUGGCACCCUCGACUGGCUUUGCCAGUUAAUGGUCCAUGCAAAUGGAACCAGGCCACAGCCGUCGGCAGUCGCCCGAGGAAGAGUUUUCUUUUCUGCUUAACGCACGAGGUCAUCCCUGGAAACAGUUCGGCUGGCGAAAGGGUGCCCCGUUGCGGCAGAGCGCCACGACUGUCGUGCGCGUCUCGGUGUUCCUGCUGAUCCGUGAAGACGUGGUCGAGGGGAUUGCUCUUGUAUCAACGAAACGCCCGACAAGUUCGGGACGGACCGUACCCUAUAUCCGCAUCUGGUCUCCAAGGUUCGUAGCCUCUGCAGAGUCAGACACAUGUAGGUAAGGGAAGUCGGCAAACUCGAUCCGUAACUUCGGGAAAAGGAUUGGCUCUGAGGGCCGAGCUGGGCCGGGCCUUGCCUGCAAAGCAGUACCUAUAGUGACCGGAGUUUCAGGAGUGCGAGGGGCUCUAGUAGCUGCUUGUGCGUGUGUGCGUUCGCUCGUGCACGCGUGUGGGCACGAACGAGUCCACCGCUCCGCUCCAACCACGAACGGCUGUGACGGCAAGGGCUCUGGGCGGGAGCGAUCGAUCCGUUGGCCCCCAGCUUGUCUGGGUGGCGGCGGUGCUCCGUCUGUCCCAUACGGCUCCAGCGGCUAGCGGCUAACUCAGAACUGUCAUGGACCAAGGGAAUCCGACUGUCUAAUUAAAACAAAGCGUCGUGACGGCCCCUGUUGGGUGUUGACGCGACGUGAUUUC
This 1395-nucleotide ribosomal RNA is filed under the name Niphargus lunaris. RNAcentral's name for it is "partial 28S ribosomal RNA". It matches the Rfam family "Eukaryotic large subunit ribosomal RNA", at positions 1357 to 2198 of the family's 3401-position model. The record is from RNAcentral. Lineage: Eukaryota; Metazoa; Arthropoda; Malacostraca; Amphipoda; Niphargidae.